Molecule: long non-coding RNA, 2511 nt
Organism: Lycium barbarum (goji berry)
Lineage: Eukaryota; Viridiplantae; Streptophyta; Magnoliopsida; Solanales; Solanaceae
Exons: 3
Source: RefSeq, a predicted model, not a curated record
GUAUGAUUUUCAUUAUGGUUUAGCUGCAGAAGGUCAUCCAAGUCAUAUUGGUUCCAAAUACCUCAAUGAUCUGAAAGGACUCAUAGAACAUAACAUUUGCUCUUUUUAGGUGUUAUUUUAGCUAAUGUCAGUUUUUUUUUUUUUUGCUGGUUUUAGCUGCUGUUUAGGUGUUGUUUCUAGCUAAAUUCAGCUUCUUUUUUGGCUCUUGUUAGUUGCUGUUUUUAGCUAAUUUCAACAUUUUUUUUUUGCUCUGUUUAGGUGCUGUUUUAGCGGUUCUUUUUAGCUAAUUUCAGUUUUUUGGUUGGUUUUAGCUGCUUUUUAGGUGUUGUUUUUCAGCAGUUUGUAGCAAAUUUCAACUUCUUUUCUUGCUCUGUUUAGGUGCUGUUUUAGCUAAUUUCAAUUUUUCAUUUUUUUUUCUUGCUGGUUUUAGCUAAUUUUAGCUUCUUCUUUUUGCUCUUUUUAGCUGUUGUUUAGGUGUUGUUUUAGCUGCUGUUUUUAGGUAAUUUCAUUUUUUUUUGCUGGUUUUAGCUGCUAUUUAGGUGUUGUUUUUAGCUAAUUUCAAUUUCUUUUUUUGCUCUUUUUAGCUGUUGUUUUCAGCUGUUUCUAGCUAAUUUCAGCUUUUAUUUUUGCUCUUUUUAGCUGCUGUUUUAGCUGAAAUAAUUUCAGCUCCUUUUUAGCUAAUUUCAGCUCUUAGUUUUGUUGUUUUAGCAUCUGAUUUUGAGCUGUUUUUCAAGGAUUAAAUCCAGUUGUUCAAGAGUUACUUCCAGAAUGUGAAUGUUUGCAAGGCAUAUACUUGCAAGAUGGUCACAAGAUUGGAAGGGUAUUGAAACAAGAAAAAAUUUUGGGCUUGUGCCAGAUCAACAUUUGAAGCUCAACUCAGGAGGAACUUGGACAAAUUAGCACUAUUAGGUGAAGGUAUUUCUAACAGCUUAGCAAGCUCUAAUCCUGAAAGAUGGUCCAAAGCAAUGUUCAAGACAACUUCAAAAUGUGACAGUGUGGAUAACAAUAUGGCUGAAAGCUUCAAUGCUUGGGUGUUGGGUACUAGGCACAAGACUAUUAUCAGUAUGCUUGAACAGAUUAGGACAAAGGUAAUGAAUAGGUUCACCAAGGUGGCAGCAUUUGCAGAUAGCUGGACCUAUGACAUUCCCCAUUGGCAAUGUCGGUAUUAAAUACAAAUGUGGAGAUGUCAACUAGGGUGGACAUUAAGUGGAAUGGUGAUAUUGGAUAUGAAGUGAAGGAUGGUCGAUGUAAACAUGUGGUUAACCUAAUUCAGGGAACUUGUACUUGCAGAAUUUGGGUACUGAAAAGGAUUCCUUGUGCACAUGUAAUAGCAGCCAUGCAUCACGAUGAAGCCAAUCCCUUUGACGCAGUUUCUACAUAGUACAGAAAAGAGACCUACCUGAGAGCUUAUGAAAAUUUCUUACAACCAAUAACCAAUAUAGAGAUGUGGCCUGAGACAUCAAAUCCAAAAGUUGAGCUACCUCCUUUUAGGAAAAUGCCCAGAAGGCCUUCAAAAAAGAGAAAGAAGGAGCUUGGAGAGGUAUCAAAUUGUGGAAAGCUUUCAAAGAGGGGAAAAAUCACGAGGUGCUCAGUUUGUAGGCCAACAAAUCACAAUAUAAGACCAUGUCCAAACAAACCUCCCGCCACUUCAAAGGGAGUAGCUACAUCACAAGUAUCCACCAGUGUAAAAAAAUCAAGGGCGCACAUAGAAAAAGAUGCUACAAGCAACGGUGGUAAAGGAAGUCCCAAGCAGCAAUCUAUUCGUCUCAGCCCUCUCAAGCAGUGCAACAAUCUCAAUCCUCUCAACCAUCUCAAGCAACAGUGAAAAGUGGUAGUGGUAGUGGAAGUAAAAAAGGUACAAACAAUACAUUUAAGAGGCCAAGAGUAGUGGUCCAUGGCGUGUUUGUGAGCAAAAACGGCUUUACUUGUGCUGAGCAAGGAUGACCUACCAGUAGGGUAAUCAAAAGUGGAGCACAAGAGAAAUUGAUAAGUUCAGCAGUUGUGACUGGUGAUCUUGGUUAUGCACCAAGUAAAGGUCUCAAACAGAAUGGAAACAAGGCAAUCACAGGAAGGCAACUUCAACAUAAAAGUGUAUCGCUUAGGUAUAUGAAAACCAAGUCACAAGCUUCACCACAAAGUGCAACAAAAGCUGGAGGUGUUUAGGAAAGACUUAACUGAUCUUUGUUGCGGUUCGAACUACUUUAACUAGAAGUGUUUAGGAAAGACGAGACUGAUUUUUUGUUGUGGUUCAAACUAUUUUUAAGUUAUGUAUUUUGAUUGUGAAUAUGGUAGUACUGAUUUUUGGUCAUGUAUGGUGACUGAUUUGCAGCCCAAAUAGUUAUUGUAUGGUGACUGCUUUUUGACUAGUAGUUAUUGAAUGGUGUUGUUUAACAUUCAGUUCAGUUCUUUAAGUGAAUGUUGUUUUUAAUGUAUGAUUAUUGUUGUGUUAUGUGAGAACAACAAAAGGAGGAAGUUUUGUUGGUGAAUAGAGAUAAGAUUGAGGUACAAGAA